This 1056-nucleotide ribosomal RNA is filed under the name uncultured bacterium. RNAcentral describes it as "bacterial SSU rRNA". It matches the Rfam family "Bacterial small subunit ribosomal RNA", at positions 338 to 1398 of the family's 1533-position model. The record is from RNAcentral.
CCUACGGGGGGCAGCAGUGAGGAAUAUUGGUCAAUGGGCGCAAGCCUGAACCAGCCAUGUCGCGUGCAGGAAGACGGUCCUAUGGAUUGUAAACUGCUUUUAUACGGGAAUAAUGUGAUCUACGUGUAGAUCUUUGAAGGUACCGUAUGAAUAAGGAUCGGCUAACUCCGUGCCAGCAGCCGCGGUAAUACGGAGGAUCCGAGCGUUAUCCGGAUUUAUUGGGUUUAAAGGGUGCGUAGGCGGACUAAUAAGUCAGUGGUGAAAUCUUGCAGCUUAACUGUAAAACUGCCAUUGAUACUGUUAGUCUUGAAUUUAGUUGAGGUAGGCGGAAUGUGUUGUGUAGCGGUGAAAUGCAUAGAUAUAACACAGAACACCGAUUGCGAAGGCAGCUUACUAAGCUAUAAUUGACGCUGAUGCACGAAAGCUGGGGAGCGAACAAGAUUAGAUACCCUGGUAGUCCACGCCGUAAACGAUGAUUACUCGUUGUUGGCAAUACAUCGUCAGCGACUGAGCGAAAGCAUUAAGUAAUCCACCUGGGGAGUACGUUGGCAACAAUGAAACUCAAAGGAAUUGACGGGGGCCCGCACAAGCGGAGGAACAUGUGGUUUAAUUCGAUGAUACGCGAGGACCUUACCUGGACUUAAAUGUAGAUUGACAGGUUUAUAGAUAGACUUUUCUUCGGACAAUUUACAAGGUGCUGCAUGGUUGUCGUCAGCUCGUGCCGUGAGGUGUCGGGUUAAGUCCCAUAACGAGCGCAACCCCUAUCUUUAGUUACCAGCACGUCAUGGUGGGGACUCUAAAGAGACUGCCUGGGUAACCAGAGAGGAAGGUGGGGAUGACGUCAAAUCAGCACGGCCCUUACGUCCCAGGGCUACACACGUGUUACAAUGGUCGGUACAAAGGGCAGCUACAUGGCAACAUGAUGCUAAUCUCUAAAACCGGUCUCAGUUCGGAUCGGAGUCUGCAACUCGACUCCGUGAAGCUGGAUUCGCUAGUAAUCGCAUAUCAGCCAUGAUGCGGUGAAUACGUUCCCGGGUCUUGUACACACCGCCCGUC